This 70-nucleotide transfer RNA is filed under the name Flavobacterium cerinum. RNAcentral describes it as "tRNA-OTHER". It matches the Rfam family "tRNA". From Rfam's summary of the family: Transfer RNA (tRNA) molecules are approximately 80 nucleotides in length. Their secondary structure includes four short double-helical elements and three loops (D, anti-codon, and T loops). Lineage: Bacteria; Pseudomonadati; Bacteroidota; Flavobacteriia; Flavobacteriales; Flavobacteriaceae. The record is from RNAcentral.
GGCCGGGUAGCUGAGUGGUCAGGCAAGGAUGUGCAAAUCCUGUACAGUGGUUCGAAUCCAUUCCCGGCCU